UGAGGAAUAUUGCGCAAUGGGGGAAACCCUGACGCAGCAACGCCGCGUGAGUGAAGAAGGCUUUCGGGUUGUAAAGCUCUGUCGGGUGGGAAGAAACCUCUUCAGGUGAAUAGUCUGAAGAGCUGACGGUACCACCGAAGGAAGCACCGGCUAACUCCGUGCCAGCAGCCGCGGUAAGACGGAGGGUGCAAGCGUUGUUCGGAAUCACUGGGCGUAAAGCGCGUGUAGGCGGUCUGAGCAGUCGAGUGUGAAAGCCCGAGGCUCAACUUCGGAAGUGCACUCGAAACUGUCAGGAUUGAGUACGGGAGAGGGAAGUGGAAUUCCUGGUGUAGAGGUGAAAUUCGUAGAUAUCAGGAGGAACACCGGUGGCGAAGGCGGCUUCCUGGACCGAUACUGACGCUGAGACGCGAAAGCGUGGGGAGCAAACA
Molecule: ribosomal RNA, 428 nt
Filed under: uncultured prokaryote
Description: bacterial SSU rRNA
Rfam family: Bacterial small subunit ribosomal RNA
Source: RNAcentral